CCGGGGGCGUGCCUGAGAAACUGGGUAACUUGAGGGCAGGAGAGGGGAGUGGAAUUCCCAGUGUAGCGGUGAAAUGCGUAGAUAUUGGGAGGAACACCAGUGGCGAAGGCGGCUCUCUGGCCUAACCCUGACGCUGAGGCGCGAAAGCGUGGGGAUCAAACAGGAUUAGAUACCCUGGUAGUCCACGCCGUAAACGAUGGGUGCUAGGUGUAGGAGGUAUCGACCCCUUCUAUGCCGUAGUUAACGCAAUAAGCACC
This 257-nucleotide ribosomal RNA is filed under the name uncultured bacterium. RNAcentral's name for it is "partial 16S ribosomal RNA". It matches the Rfam family "Bacterial small subunit ribosomal RNA", at positions 613 to 868 of the family's 1533-position model. The record is from RNAcentral.